RNAcentral lists this ribosomal RNA (502 nucleotides) under uncultured bacterium. RNAcentral describes it as "partial 16S ribosomal RNA". It matches the Rfam family "Bacterial small subunit ribosomal RNA", at positions 28 to 507 of the family's 1533-position model. The record is from RNAcentral.
GACGAACGCUGGCGGCGUGCCUAAUACAUGCAAGUCGAACGAACCGCGACUAGGUGCUUGCACUUGGUCAAGGUGAGUGGCGAACGGGUGAGUAACACGUGGGUAACCUACCUCAUAGUGGGGGAUAACAGUCGGAAACGACUGCUAAUACCGCAUAGGACAUGGGAUCACAUGAUUCUGUGAGGAAAGGUGGCGCAAGCUAUCGCUAAGAGAUGGACCCGCGGUGCAUUAGCUAGUUGGUAGGGUAACGGCCUACCAAGGCGAUGAUGCAUAGCCGACCUGAGAGGGUGAUCGGCCACAUUGGGACUGAGACACGGCCCAAACUCCUACGGGAGGCAGCAGUAGGGAAUCUUCCGCAAUGGACGCAAGUCUGACGGAGCAACGCCGCGUGAGUGAAGAAGGUCUUCGGAUCGUAAAGCUCUGUUGUUAGAGAAGAACAGCGCAUAGAGUAACUGUUAUGCGUGUGACGGUAUCUAACCGGAAAGCCACGGCUAACUACGUG